Molecule: unclassified non-coding RNA, 334 nt
Filed under: soil metagenome
Description: partial contains 5.8S ribosomal RNA, internal transcribed spacer 2, and large subunit ribosomal RNA
Rfam family: 5.8S ribosomal RNA (bases 1-120)
Source: RNAcentral
GAUGAAGAACGUAGCGAAAUGCGAUAAGUAAUGUGAAUUGCAGAAUUCAGUGAAUCAUCGAAUCUUUGAACGCACAUUGCGCCCGCCAGUAUUCUGGCGGGCAUGCCUGUUCGAGCGUCAUUUCAACCAUCAAGCCCCAGGCUUGUGUUGGAGCCCUGCGGCUGCCGCAGCCUCCCAAAACCAGUGGCGGGCUCGCUAUCACACCGAGUGCAGUAGUUUACUCUUCGCUCAGGGCGUGUGGCGGGUGCUAGCCGUAAAACCCCCAACUUCUCAAGGUUGACCUCGGAUCAGGUAGGGAUACCCGCUGAACUUAAGCAUAUCAAUAAGCGGAGGA